AAGCUAGCUGUAGCUUACAUAGCGAAUGUACCAUUGUAGCAUUAGCUACAUGUUGAUGAUCCUGGUAUCCUGAGCAGUUUUUACACCUCUCAACUGCCGUGACAUCUGAUGGCUGAUGCUGAGCAGCAGCCAUUUCCGUAAGCAGUGAGUGAGGAGAAUGGGAAUAGAGGGAUGAGAGCUUGAUGGAGACAGAGUGGGAGAGUUUAAAAAAAAUAGUGAAAGGGAGCGAAAGAGAGAGAGAUGUGGGUGGUUUUGAGCAGAGAGGAAAGAUGCUCUGCUCUGGAAGGCUGUGUGGGCGUUCGUUGCCGGCGAGGAGCUCAGGGAUGAGCCGAGCCGCCUGUGACCCUCUGUGGAGACUUUAACCCCUGGAUAACAGCUGCUCCGCACCUGGCCUGGACCAGAUCCCAGAGCCCCAAACAUGCAGGACUCCCACAAACCUCUUUCACAGCAACAGCAGGAGCAAAUAGAUGCUAAGAGCACUCAGAGCUUCACGAAGACCAUCCUUUUCCUUUUCUUUGACCUCAUCUCUCUCUGUGCCGUGUUUUAUCUCUCCAUCUCUGGUGGAUUGUGUACUACGUGACCGUUGGCUCUGGUGUCAGAGGCCCCGGAUGAAGAGAUGCCUACAGAUCAUCGAGUGGUCUUGAAAGCAUCACAUGAGAUCCUCUUGGAUGCACAUCAGAGGCAGCUCUUGUGGUGAAUUUUAUUCCACGGCUACCAGAACAUUGCUUCGAAAACAGAUUGUUCCAGUUGUAAAGCAAGAACAUAGAGACAAUGAGCAAACUGUUUUUUAUCACCAGUGCAUGUUACAAGGUGCAUGUGUGCAAAAUGUGUAAAUGCACAAGUGUUCAUGGCUUGUAUCCUGUCAUAUAAAUGUUUAUAUUAGAUAGUUGACAGAAAAAAUGUGGUGAUUGAAGCAACUCUUAAAUCACCCAGUCUGAGAAAUCUGAAAAUCUUUGUGGAGACUUUUUUUAAAGAUUGUAUGCAAGUAUUUUUAACUCAUAUUUUUGUCACUGAAAUUGUUUUAAGGGAAGAAGCAAAUGAAUUUGUUUAAUUACUUUUGCGUUACUUUGUAACACAGGUCUGAGGUCAUGGUUCUCAGCCCCGAAUCGGGGAAGUGAGCUCUCAUUUUUGUAUCUCCUGCACAAACUAAAGUCAGCAUUAAAUAAAUAAAUGAAUCAAAUAAAAAUCA
Molecule: long non-coding RNA, 1189 nt
Organism: Oreochromis aureus
Lineage: Eukaryota; Metazoa; Chordata; Actinopteri; Cichliformes; Cichlidae
Exons: 3
Source: RefSeq, a predicted model, not a curated record